Molecule: ribosomal RNA, 927 nt
Filed under: uncultured archaeon
Lineage: Archaea
Description: bacterial SSU rRNA
Rfam family: Archaeal small subunit ribosomal RNA
Source: RNAcentral
AUUUUCCGGUUGAUCCUGCCGGAAGCCAUUGCUAUUGGAGUCCGAUUUAGCCAUGCUAGUCGCACGGGUUCAGACCCGUGGCGAAUAGCUCCGUAACACGUGGCCAAACUACCCUAUGGAUCGGAAUAACCUCGGGAAACUGAGGCUAAUACCGAAUAUCGCUCCCAUCCUGGAACUGGAGGGAGCACGAAACGCUCCGGCGCCAUAGGAUGUGGCUGCGGCCGAUUAGGUAGACGGUGGGGUAACGGCCCACCGUGCCGAUAAUCGGUACGGGUUGUGAGAGCAAGAGCCCGGAGACGGUAUCUGAGACAAGAUACCGGGCCCUACGGGGCGCAGCAGGCGCGAAACCUUUACACUGCACGAACGUGCGAUAAGGGGACUCCAAGUGCGAGGGCAUACAGUCCUCGCUUUUCUGUACCGUAAGGUGGUACAGGAAUAAGAGUUGGGCAAGACCGGUGCCAGCCGCCGCGGUAAUACCGGCAGCUCGAGUGAUGGCCAAUAUUAUUGGGCCUAAAGCGUCCGUAGCCGGCCGAACAGGUCCGUCGGGAAAUCCGCUCGCUCAACGAGCGGACGUCCGGCGGAAACCAGUCGGCUUGGGACCGGAAGACCCGAGGGGUACGGCUGGGGUAGGAGUGAAAUCCUGUAAUCCUGGCCGGACCACCGGUGGCGAAAGCGCCUCGGGAAGACGGAUCCGACGGUGAGGGACGAAAGCUGGGGUCACGAACCGGAUUAGAUACCCGGGUAGUCCUAGCUGUAAACGAUGCUCGCUAGGUGUGGCACUGGCUACGAGCCAGUGCUGUGCCGUAGGGAAGCCGAGAAGCGAGCCGCCUGGGAAGUACGUCCGCAAGGAUGAAACUUAAAGGAAUUGGCGGGGGAGCACUACAACCGGAGGAGCCUGCGGUUUAAUUGGAUUCAACGCCGGAAAUC